This 210-nucleotide ribosomal RNA is filed under the name uncultured bacterium. RNAcentral's name for it is "partial 16S ribosomal RNA". It matches the Rfam family "Bacterial small subunit ribosomal RNA", at positions 568 to 776 of the family's 1533-position model. The record is from RNAcentral.
UGCGUAGGCGGACUUAUAAGUCAGCGGUGAAAGUUUGCAGCUUAACUGUAAAAUUGCCGUUGAAACUGUUAGUCUUGAGUGUAAAUGAGGUAGGCGGAAUGUGUUGUGUAGCGGUGAAAUGCUUAGAUAUAACACAGAACACCAAUUGCGAAGGCAGCUUACUGGGAUACAACUGACGCUGAGGGCACGAAAGCGUGGGAGUCAAACCAG